GACUACUGGGGUAUCUAAUCCUGUUCGCUCCCCACGCUUUCGCUUCUCAGCGUCAGUGGUGGCCCAGAGACCUGCCUUCGCCAUUGGUGUUCCUCCUGAUAUCUGCGCAUUUCACCGCUACACCAGGAAUUCCAGUCUCCCCUACCACACUCUAGUCUGCCCGUACCCACUGCAAGUCCGGGGUUGAGCCCCGGAUUUUCACAGCAGACGCGACAAACCGCCUACAAGCUCUUUACGCCCAAUAAUUCCGGACAACGCUCGCACCCUACGUAUUACCGCGGCUGCUGGCACGUAGUUAGCCGGUGCUUCUUCUGCAGGUACCGUCACUUUCGCUUCUUCCCUGCUGAAAGAGGUUUACAACCCGAAGGCCUUCAUCCCUCACGCGGCGUCGCUGCAUCAGGCUUUCGCCCAUUGUGCAAUAUUCCCCACUGCAGCCCCCCGUAGG
RNAcentral lists this ribosomal RNA (445 nucleotides) under uncultured Nostocoides sp. RNAcentral describes it as "uncultured Tetrasphaera sp. partial 16S ribosomal RNA". Lineage: Bacteria; Bacillati; Actinomycetota; Actinomycetes; Micrococcales; Intrasporangiaceae. The record is from RNAcentral.